RNAcentral lists this ribosomal RNA (368 nucleotides) under uncultured organism. Its description in RNAcentral is "bacterial SSU rRNA". It matches the Rfam family "Bacterial small subunit ribosomal RNA", at positions 526 to 896 of the family's 1533-position model. The record is from RNAcentral.
CGGAGGGUGCAAGCGUUAUCCGGAUUCACUGGGUUUAAAGGGUGUGUAGGUGGGCAGGUAAGUCAGUGGUGAAAUCUCCGGGCUUAACUCGGAAACUGCCAUUGAUACUAUCUGUCUUGAAUACCGUGGAGGUCAGCGGAAUAUGUCAUGUAGCGGUGAAAUGCUUAGAUAUGACAUAGAACACCAAUUGCGAAGGCAGCUGGCUACACGAAUAUUGACACUGAUGCACGAAAGCGUGGGGAUCAAACAGGAUUAGAUACCCUGGUAGUCCACGCCCUAAACGAUGGAUACUCGACAUACGCGAUACACAGUGUGUGUCUGAGCGAAAGCAUUAAGUAUCCCACCUGGGAAGUACGAUCGCAAGAUUG